AAUAGAUGACGCCGUUAACUUUUUCUCACAUGUUUGACCAUUCGUCUUAUUCAAAAAUUUUAUGCAAAUGUAUAUGAUAUAAAUCACACAUAAAGUACUAUGAGUGAUAAAACAACUCAUAACAAAAUAAAUUAUAAUUACGUAAAUUUUUUAAAUAAGACGAAUGGUCAAACAUGUAAGAAAAAGUCAACGGUGUCAUCUAUU
Molecule: microRNA precursor, 204 nt
Filed under: Oryza glumipatula
Lineage: Eukaryota; Viridiplantae; Streptophyta; Magnoliopsida; Poales; Poaceae
Description: MIR812 microRNA precursor family
Rfam family: MIR812 microRNA precursor family
Source: Rfam by way of RNAcentral